GCCGGAGUGGUGAAAUGGUAGACACGUUAGACUCAAAAUCUAAUGGAGGUAACUCCGUGCGGGUUCAAGUCCCGCCUUCGGUACCA
This 86-nucleotide transfer RNA is filed under the name Fusobacteriota bacterium. RNAcentral describes it as "Fusobacteria bacterium (anaerobic digester metagenome) tRNA-Leu". It matches the Rfam family "tRNA". From Rfam's summary of the family: Transfer RNA (tRNA) molecules are approximately 80 nucleotides in length. The record is from RNAcentral. Lineage: Bacteria; Fusobacteriati; Fusobacteriota.